Molecule: ribosomal RNA, 203 nt
Filed under: Staphylococcus aureus
Lineage: Bacteria; Bacillati; Bacillota; Bacilli; Caryophanales; Staphylococcaceae
Description: partial 16S ribosomal RNA
Rfam family: Bacterial small subunit ribosomal RNA
Source: RNAcentral
GUGCACAUCUUGACGGUACCUAAUCAGAAAGCCACGGCUAACUACGUGCCAGCAGCCGCGGUAAUACGUAGGUGGCAAGCGUUAUCCGGAAUUAUUGGGCGUAAAGCGCGCGUAGGCGGUUUUUUAAGUCUGAUGUGAAAGCCCACGGCUCAACCGUGGAGGGUCAUUGGAAACUGGAAAACUUGAGUGCAGAAGAGGAAAGU